Molecule: long non-coding RNA, 219 nt
Organism: Thunnus maccoyii (southern bluefin tuna)
Lineage: Eukaryota; Metazoa; Chordata; Actinopteri; Scombriformes; Scombridae
Exons: 3
Source: RefSeq, a predicted model, not a curated record
CAGCCCUCACCUCUCAUGUUCCUUUAACAUCCAGUGGCCUGUAAUGGACAAUACAAUUGCAUUUUCACAAUGGAGACAACUAAGACUGAAUCUGUGUAGGCACCUAUCCCCUCUUCUGGCAGAAAGCAGAUAUGUUCUUUUCCUCUGUUCCAGUAUGACCCUGAAGUAAAUGACCUGUGAAUAGAGUCACAUUGGGGAUUUUCUAAAGGACUUUCUUGC